RNAcentral lists this ribosomal RNA (479 nucleotides) under uncultured organism. RNAcentral's name for it is "partial 16S ribosomal RNA". It matches the Rfam family "Bacterial small subunit ribosomal RNA", at positions 331 to 801 of the family's 1533-position model. The record is from RNAcentral.
GUACACUCCUGCGGGAGGCAGCAGUGGGGAAUAUUGCACAAUGGGCGCAAGCCUGAUGCAGCCAUGCCGCGUGUAUGAAGAAGGCCUUCGGGUUGUAAAGUACUUUCAGCGGGGAGGAAGGCGAUAAGGUUAAUAACCUUGUUGAUUGACGUUACCCGCAGAAGAAGCACCGGCUAACUCCGUGCCAGCAGCCGCGGUAAUACGGAGGGUGCAAGCGUUAAUCGGAAUUACUGGGCGUAAAGCACACGCAGGCGGUCUGUCAAGUCGGAUGUGAAAUCCCCGGGCUCAACCUGGGAACUGCAUUCGAAACUGGCAGGCUAGAGUCUUGUAGAGGGGGGUAGAAUUCCAGGUGUAGCGGUGAAAUGCGUAGAGAUCUGGAGGAAUACCGGUGGCGAAGGCGGCCCCCUGGACAAAGACUGACGCUCAGGUGCGAAAGCGUGGGGAGCAAACAGGAUUAGAAACCCGAGUAGUCCCAUGAU